This 253-nucleotide ribosomal RNA is filed under the name uncultured bacterium. RNAcentral's name for it is "partial 16S ribosomal RNA". It matches the Rfam family "Bacterial small subunit ribosomal RNA", at positions 524 to 776 of the family's 1533-position model. The record is from RNAcentral.
UACGAAGGGGGCUAGCGUUGUUCGGAAUUACUGGGCGUAAAGCGCGCGCAGGCGGUCUUCCAAGUCAGUGGUGAAAGCCCGGAGCUCAACUCCGGAAAUGCCAUUGAAACUGUGAGACUGGAGUACGAGAGAGGUGAGUGGAAUUCCCAGUGUAGAGGUGAAAUUCGUAGAUAUUGGGAAGAACACCCGUGGCGAAGGCGGCUCUCUGGGACGGUACUGACGCUGAGACGCGAAAGCGUGGGGAGCGAACAGG